RNAcentral lists this long non-coding RNA (1615 nucleotides) under Homo sapiens (human). RNAcentral describes it as "HSALNT0383757". The record is from RNAcentral. Lineage: Eukaryota; Metazoa; Chordata; Mammalia; Primates; Hominidae.
CAGAGUCAAGUUUCUCCCUCCCCUCCCUCGCUACUCUCUCCUCCCUCUGCAGGCUCCGGAUCAGGCUGCCAAUCUGUAAAUGAUGUUUUAGGUUUUUCUUUGUUGUUGUUUUGGUGCUGUGAAGCCUGCCUUGUUAACACCAGGUGCUGAAAGAUUAAAACUUAUCAAUCACCAUCAUCAAGGGGGAGUUGCCGGGCACAAGUUCUCUUCUCUUGUCUGCUGCCAUGUGAGACAUACCUUUCACCUUCCGCCAUGAUUGUGAGGCCUCUCCAGCCACGUGGAACUCAGGUUUCAGUCCUUGAGGAGCGCUCACUAGGAUGGUAAUUGUUUGAUCGAUAGAUUAAGUGAGUUGGAAGACUCUCCAAGUGAAAAUUUAAAAUUACUGCAGUUUUGGCCUGAUGAUGUUAACCAGCAAGAACAGAAUCUGAAACCAGAUGAGCUGUUAGUACUGCUUUCAUCUGUUUUACAGCCACAGCGACAGCAGUUCCCUGGCUUCUGGAAGGAGUGUCGGUCUAUCCAAAAAAUGUACUAACAGAUAUGUAAAGUCUGUCAUCCAUUUGCAGCAAAUUUUGCCUACGGUAUGAAAUAGGAGUUCAAUUUGACAUUGAAUAUUGAUAUCUUAGCAAUAUUAUCUCCCAAUCUGUGAACACGAAAUUUCUUUAUAUUUAUUCAAAUUAUCUUUGGUUUUUAAUGAUGUUAAAUCCAAGUAUUCUUUGUGAUGCUGUUGUAAAUGGAAUUUUUUGUGUUGUUCAUUGCUAAUGUAUAAAAACCAAUGAUGUUUGUAUAUUAAUCUUGUAUCCUGCAACCUCAUUGAACUAGUUUAUUAGCUCUAGUAAUAUGUUGGUGUGAAUCCCUUAAUAUUUUCUACAUACAAGAUCAUGUCAUCUGCAAAUUGUUUUACUUCUUCCUUUCCAAUUUGGAUGCUUUUUAUUUCAUCUUGCCUACUGCUUUGGCUACAACCUCCAGUACAAGAUUGAAUAGAAGUGAUGAGACAGAACAUCCUUGUCUUAUUUGUGAUCUCUGGGGGGGAAGGCUUACAGUAUUUUGCAUCAACAUAUCAGCUACGGGUUUUUCAUAGAUGUCCUUUCUCAGGAUGAAAAAGUCCAUGUUUGGCUUUUUGAAUGUUUUCAUCUAAGAGUUUUGGAUUUUGCCAAAUGUUAAAUGCUUCUUCUGUAUGCAUUGAGAUGAUCUUGUUGUUUUUGUCCUUUAUUCUAAUAAUAUGGUGUACUACAUUGAUUUCUGUAUGUUGAAGUUUGUAUUCCUAAGAUAAAUCUCACUUGCUUAUGGUGUACAUUCCUUUCUAUAUGUUGCUGGAUUUACUUUCAUUAGUAUUUUGUUGAGGAUUUUUGCCUCUAUAUUGAGGGCUAUUGGCCUGUAGUUGUUUUCUUUGCCUGAUUUCUAAUGUGGGUGAUACUGAAUUGGGAAGGGUAUCCUCCUUCUCUGUUUUUUGGUGUUUGUGAAUAAUUGGUGGUAUUCUGUAAAUGUUUGACAGAAUUCACCAGUGAAGACAUCUGCUCCUGGACUUUUUCCCGUGGGAAGUUUGUUUUUAAGAGAUGGGAGUCUCACUCUCACCCAGGCUGGAGUGCAGUGGUGUGACAAUAGCUCACUACAGCCU